GACGAACGCUGGCGGCGUGCUUAACACAUGCAAGUCGUGCGGUAAGGCCCUUUCGGGGGUACACGAGCGGCGAACGGGUGAGUAACACGGGAGCAACCUGCCCUUCACGUUGGGAUAACUGCCGAAAACGGUGGCGAAUACCGGAUAUGACUUCCUCACGCAUGUGGGGUGGUGGAAAGCCUUCGGGUGGUGGGGGAUGGGCUCGCGGUCUAUCAGCUGGUUGGUGGGGUGAUGGCCUACCAAGGCUUCGACGGGUAGCCGGCCGGAGAGGGUGACCGGCCACACUGGGACUGAGCCACGGCCCAGACUCCUACGCGACUCACCGGUGGGAGAUAUUGCACAAUGCGCGCACGCCUGCCCCAGCAACGCGGCGUGAGGGAUGAAGGCCUUCGGGUUGCAAGCCUCUUUAGCCUGCGACGAAGAGAGCGUGCCGGUAGCAGGUAAAGAAGCCCCGGCCAACUACGUG
RNAcentral lists this ribosomal RNA (466 nucleotides) under uncultured bacterium. RNAcentral describes it as "partial 16S ribosomal RNA". It matches the Rfam family "Bacterial small subunit ribosomal RNA", at positions 28 to 507 of the family's 1533-position model. The record is from RNAcentral.